Molecule: long non-coding RNA, 419 nt
Organism: Spea bombifrons (plains spadefoot toad)
Lineage: Eukaryota; Metazoa; Chordata; Amphibia; Anura; Pelobatidae
Exons: 2
Source: RefSeq, a predicted model, not a curated record
GGGGAGGGAAUACAAGAAGAAGGAUAGAAGAAGAAGAAGAGCAUGUGGGAGAAGUAAGAGAAAUUUAGUGGAAUGGAAGGAGAGAUAAAGGGGUAGAAAUGGAAGAAUAGAAAAUUUGAGGUGGAAGAAGAAGGAAAUACGAGAGGGAAACGGUGGGAUGGGGGGAGAUAUUGGUGGGAAUGGAAGCGGGAGAUCAGGGUGGAGCCCAAAGGGAGGGCAGUUCUUUAAGCCAUGGUCCCUCAGAGGUUCCCCCCAGGGGGGUUUUCCUCUCCUUUGUGCUGAAGAAUAACUCUGAGUCCAGAGGCAACCUUUAAUUUGGUUGUAUUUCUAGAAUCAUUAACCCUAGAGUUGGUGUAUAAAUAUUUUCCUGGCAAAUUAACUGAAAUGUUGUAAUAUAAUAAAGUAUUCAUAUAUUCAUA